RNAcentral lists this ribosomal RNA (253 nucleotides) under uncultured bacterium. RNAcentral's name for it is "partial 16S ribosomal RNA". It matches the Rfam family "Bacterial small subunit ribosomal RNA", at positions 524 to 776 of the family's 1533-position model. The record is from RNAcentral.
UACGUAGGGCGCGAGCGUUGUCCGGAAUUAUUGGGCGUAAAGAGCUCGUAGGCGGCCUGUUGCGUCCGCUGUGAAAUCCCAGGGCUCAACCCCGGGCCUGCAGUGGAUACGGGCUGGCUAGAGGCAGGCAGGGGAGAACGGAAUUCCUGGUGUAGCGGUGAAAUGCGCAGAUAUCAGGAGGAACACCGGUGGCGAAGGCGGUUCUCUGGGCCUGUACUGACGCUGAGGAGCGAAAGCGUGGGGAGCGAACAGG